This 253-nucleotide ribosomal RNA is filed under the name uncultured Fluviicola sp. RNAcentral's name for it is "partial 16S ribosomal RNA". It matches the Rfam family "Bacterial small subunit ribosomal RNA", at positions 524 to 776 of the family's 1533-position model. Lineage: Bacteria; Pseudomonadati; Bacteroidota; Flavobacteriia; Flavobacteriales; Crocinitomicaceae. The record is from RNAcentral.
UACGGAGGGUGCAAGCGUUAUCCGGAAUCAUUGGGUUUAAAGGGUCCGCAGGCGGUCUUAUAAGUCAGUGGUGAAAGCCUACAGCUCAACUGUAGAACUGCCAUUGAUACUGUAGGACUUGAAUUCGGUCGAAGUGGGCGGAAUAUGACAUGUAGCGGUGAAAUGCUUAGAUAUGUCAUAGAACACCGAUAGCGAAGGCAGCUCACUAGGCCUGGACUGACGCUCAGGGACGAAAGCGUGGGGAGCAAACAGG